UACGUAGGCAGCGAGCGUUGUUCGGAGUUACUGGGCGUAAAGGGUGUGUAGGCGGUUCUUUAAGUUUGGCGUGAAAUCUCCCGGCUCAACCGGGAGGGUGCGUCGAAUACUGAGGGACUAGAGUACGGGAGAGGAAAGUGGAAUUCCUGGUGUAGCGGUGAAAUGCGUAGAUAUCAGGAGGAACACCGGUGGUGUAGACGGCUUUCUGGACAGAGUCUGACGCUGAGGCGCGAAAGCUAGGGGAGCAAACAGG
RNAcentral lists this ribosomal RNA (253 nucleotides) under uncultured bacterium. Its description in RNAcentral is "partial 16S ribosomal RNA". It matches the Rfam family "Bacterial small subunit ribosomal RNA", at positions 524 to 776 of the family's 1533-position model. The record is from RNAcentral.